RNAcentral lists this ribosomal RNA (253 nucleotides) under uncultured bacterium. RNAcentral's name for it is "partial 16S ribosomal RNA". It matches the Rfam family "Bacterial small subunit ribosomal RNA", at positions 524 to 776 of the family's 1533-position model. The record is from RNAcentral.
UACAGAGGGUGCGAGCGUUAAUCGGAAUUACUGGGCGUAAAGCGUGCGUAGACGGUUAUUUAAGUCGGGUGUGAAAGCCCCGGGCUCAACCUGGGAAUUGCAUUCGAGACUGAAUAGCUAGGGUACGGUAGAGGGAAGUGGAAUUUCCGGUGUAGCGGUGAAAUGCGUAGAUAUCGGAAGGAACACCAGUGGCGAAAGCGACUUCCUGGACCAGUACCGACGUUCAGGCACGAAAGCGUGGGGAGCAAACAGG